GACGUAGGGCGCGAGCGUUGUCCGGAUUUAUUGGGCGUAAAGGGCGCGUAGGCGGUGCGGUAAGUCACCUGUGAAAUCUCCUGGCUCAACUGGGAGCUUGCAGGCGAAACUGCCGUGCUGGAGUGUGGGAGAGGUGCGUGGAAUUCCCAGUGUAGAGGUGAAAUUCGUAGAUAUUGGGAAGAACACCGGUGGCGAAGGCGGCAACCUGGUCCUUGACUGACGCUGAGGCGCGAAAGCGUGGGGAGCAAACAGG
This 253-nucleotide ribosomal RNA is filed under the name uncultured bacterium. RNAcentral describes it as "partial 16S ribosomal RNA". It matches the Rfam family "Bacterial small subunit ribosomal RNA", at positions 524 to 776 of the family's 1533-position model. The record is from RNAcentral.